This 560-nucleotide ribosomal RNA is filed under the name Candidatus Atelocyanobacterium thalassae. RNAcentral describes it as "bacterial SSU rRNA". It matches the Rfam family "Bacterial small subunit ribosomal RNA", at positions 498 to 1056 of the family's 1533-position model. The record is from RNAcentral. Lineage: Bacteria; Bacillati; Cyanobacteriota; Cyanophyceae; Chroococcales; Aphanothecaceae.
UAGUCUGGUGCCAGCAGCCGCGGUAAUACGGGAGUGGCAAGCGUUAUCCGGAAUUAUUGGGCGUAAAGCGUCCGCAGGCGGCUUUUCAAGUCUGCUGUUAAAGCGUGGAGCUUAACUCCAUCAUGGCAGUGGAAACUGAAUGGCUUGAGUAUGGUAGGGGCAGAGGGAAUUCCCGGUGUAGCGGUGAAAUGCGUAGAUAUCGGGAAGAACACCAGUGGCGAAGGCGCUCUGCUGGGCCAUUACUGACGCUCAUGGACGAAAGCCAGGGGAGCGAAAGGGAUUAGAUACCCCUGUAGUCCUGGCCGUAAACGAUGAACACUAGGUGUCGGGGGAAUCGACCCCUUCGGUGUCGUAGCUAACGCGUUAAGUGUUCCGCCUGGGGAGUACGCACGCAAGUGUGAAACUCAAAGGAAUUGACGGGGGCCCGCACAAGCGGUGGAGUAUGUGGUUUAAUUCGAUGCAACGCGAAGAACCUUACCAGGGUUUGACAUCCUGCGAACCUCUUAGAAAUUUGAGGGUGCCUUCGGGAAUGCAGUGACAGGUGGUGCAUGGCCGUUCUU